RNAcentral lists this ribosomal RNA (460 nucleotides) under uncultured bacterium. RNAcentral describes it as "partial 16S ribosomal RNA". It matches the Rfam family "Bacterial small subunit ribosomal RNA", at positions 338 to 795 of the family's 1533-position model. The record is from RNAcentral.
CCUACGGGUGGCAGCAGUGAGGAAUAUUGGUCAAUGGACGAGAGUCUGAACCAGCCAAGUAGCGUGAAGGAUGACUGCCCUAUGGGUUGUAAACUUCUUUUAUAUGGGAAUAAAACGUUCCACGUGUGGGAUUUUGUAUGUACCAUAUGAAUAAGGAUCGGCUAACUCCGUGCCAGCAGCCGCGGUAAUACGGAGGAUCCGAGCGUUAUCCGGAUUUAUUGGGUUUAAAGGGAGCGUAGGUGGAUUGUUAAGUCAGUUGUGAAAGUUUGCGGCGCAACCGUAAAAUUGCAGUUGAGACUGGCAGUCUUGAGUACAGUAGAGGUGGGCGGAAUUCGUGGUGUAGCGGUGAAAUGCUUAGAUAUCACGAAGAACUCCGAUUGCGAAGGCAGUUCACUGGACUGCAACUGACACUGAGGCUCGAAAGUGUGGGUAUCAAACAGGAUUAGAUACCCGAGUAGUC